CCUAAUUUAAAAGUGUGUUUUUCUGACCUUAGGCUUUUAGCCCAGCUGCCAAGAGCAAAUGUUGUUCUCUUGCGAUACCUUUUUGGAGUGCUAUACAACAUUGAGCAACAUUCGUCAUCCAAUCAGAUGAAAGCUUAUAAUUUAUCCGUUUGUAUAGCCCCAUGCGUUCUUUACCCACCUGAUUCCGAAAGCUUGGAAUUGGAAGACAACAUGAUAAAAAAGACUCCGGUCGGAAGACUGUGAAAAGCCAUUUUUUCAGAGACAGGGCCUUUUGGUGGGGCUCCGGCACUUCCCAGCACACCCAGUGCACAGCCCCACCUUCCGCAAAGCCAGGACAGCUCUUUGGAGUUUCCCUCAUGGAUGUGUGUGAUAAAGACAACUUGCCCUUCCCAAUUCUGGGUAUGCUUUCCUUUAUUAAUGAAAAAGGGCCCCUCACAGAAGGCAUAUUCAGAAACUCAGCCAAUAUAAAAUCCUGCCAUGUCCUAAAGGAAAAACUGAAUUCUGGGGUCAAAGUGAACCCAUACAACGAAUCUGUU
This is a long non-coding RNA of Mirounga angustirostris (Northern elephant seal), 536 nucleotides long. RefSeq lists it as uncharacterized. The transcript has 3 exons. The record is from RefSeq and is a predicted model, not a curated record. NCBI's taxonomy places the organism in Eukaryota, Metazoa, Chordata, Mammalia, Carnivora, Phocidae.